Molecule: ribosomal RNA, 489 nt
Filed under: uncultured bacterium
Lineage: Bacteria
Description: bacterial SSU rRNA
Rfam family: Bacterial small subunit ribosomal RNA
Source: RNAcentral
GACGAACGCUGGCGGCGUGCUUAACACAUGCAAGUCGAACGCGAAAGCCCUUCGGGGUGAGUACAGUGGCGAACGGGUGAGUAACACGUGGGCAACCUGCCCCAGAGAGCGGGACACCCGGGAAACCCGGGCUAAUACCGCAUGAUGCGUCUCCGCAUAAGCGGAGCCGCCAAAAGGUAGCUUCGGCCUCCGCUCUGGGAUGGGCCCGCGCCGGAUUAGCUAGUUGGUUGGGGUAAUGGCCCACCAAGGCGACGAUCCGUAGCUGGUCUGAGAGGACGAUCAGCCACACUGGGACUGAGACACGGCCCAGACUCCUACGGGAGGCAGCAGUGGGGAAUCUUGCGCAAUGGGCGAAAGCCUGACGCAGCAACGCCGCGUGGGGGAAGAAGGCCUUCGGGUUGUAAACCUCUUUCAGUAGGGACGAAGCUUCCGGGGUUAAUAGCCUACGGGGUGACGGUACCUACAGAAGAAGCCCCGGCUAACUACGUG